AACAAGUAUUAAAGGUGAUGCCUGCCCAGUGAUUCUUUCAACGGCCGCGGGAUCCUACACCGUGCAAAGGUAGCAUAAUCACUUGUCACCUAAAUAGUGACUAGUAUGAACGGCCCAAUGAGGACCUUACUGUCUCUUGUAACCAAUCAAUGAAACUGAUCUUCUAGUUCAAAAGCUAGAAUAAAAACACAAGACGAAAAGACCCUGUGGAACUUUUAAGUGUCAACCAUCAUAUGAUAUAACCACUUUUAGUUGGGGCAACUUUGGAAUAAAGAAAAACUUCCAAUUAAUCUUAUCUUUCCCUAAUCUAGGUCUACAUACCAACAUUAAUGAUACUUCUGACCCAGUCCUACUGAUUAAAGAAACAAGCUACCCCAGGGAUAACAGCGCCAUCCCCUCUUAGAGUCCCAAUCGACGAGUGGGGCUUACGACCUCGAUGUUGGAUCAGGGCCCCCCAGCAGUGCAGCAGCUGCUAAAGGUUUGUUUGUUCAACAAUUAAUGCCCUACGUGAUCUGAGUUAAGACCGGAGUAAUCCA
RNAcentral lists this ribosomal RNA (536 nucleotides) under Kentropyx calcarata. RNAcentral describes it as "partial 16S ribosomal RNA". It matches the Rfam family "Bacterial large subunit ribosomal RNA", at positions 1838 to 2628 of the family's 2925-position model. The record is from RNAcentral. Lineage: Eukaryota; Metazoa; Chordata; Lepidosauria; Squamata; Teiidae.